UCAAGCGACUAAGCGUACACGGUGGAUGCCUUGGCAGUCAGAGGCGAUGAAGGACGUUGUAACAUGCGAAAAGCUUCGGGGAGUUUGUAAACUAGCAUUGAUCCGAAGAUGUCCGAAUGGGGAAACCCACUCCGCAAGGAGUAUCCCGCAAGGGAGGCGAACGUAGGGAACUGAAACAUCUAAGUACCUAUAGGAAAAGAAAUCAACCGAUAUUCCCUUAGUAGUGGCGAGCGAACGGGGAACAGCCGAAUCAUUACUUGAUAGCAAAGCAGUUUGGAAAAGCUGGCCAUAGUGGGUGAUAGCCCCGUAUGCGAAAUUGGGUAGUGGACAUAUUAAGUAGGGCGGGACACGUGAAAUCCUGUUUGAAGAUGGGGGGACCAUCCUCCAAGGCUAAAUACUACUGACUGACCGAUAGUGAACCAGUACCGUGAGGGAAAGGCGAAAAGAACCGCGGCGAGCGGAGUGAAAUAGAACCUGAAACCGUGUACGUACAAGCAGUGGGAGCCCUUCGGGGUGACUGCGUACCUUUUGUAUAAUGGGUCAGCGACUUACAUUCAGUGGCAAGCUUAACCGAUAGGGGAGGCGUAGCGAAAGCGAGUCUGAACAGGGCGUUCAGUCGCUGGGUGUAGACCCGAAACCGGGCGAUCUAUCCAUGACCAGGUUGAAGGUGCCGUAACAGGUACUGGAGGACCGAACCCACGCCUGUUGAAAAAGUCGGGGAUGAGUUGUGGAUAGGAGUGAAAGGCUAAUCAAGCUCGGAGAUAGCUGGUUCUCCUCGAAAGCUAUUUAGGUAGCGCCUCGUGUAUCACUCUUGGGGGUAGAGCACUGUUAUGGCUAGGGGGGCUUGACCGCCUUACCAACCCAUUGCAAACUCCGAAUACCAAGAAGUGCGAGCACGGGAGACACACGGCGGGUGCUAACGUCCGUCGUGAAAAGGGAAACAACCCAGACCAUCAGCUAAGGUCCCCAAAUUAUGGCUCAGUGGGAAACGAUGUGGGAAGGCAUAGACAGCCAGGAAGUUGGCUUAGAAGCAGCCAUCUUUUAAAGAAAGCGUAAUAGCUCACUGGUCGAGUCGGCCUGCGCGGAAGAUUCAACGGGGCUUAAGCCAUAUACCGAAGCUAUGGAUUUGCACGCAAGUGCAAGUGGUAGAGGAGCGUUCUGUACGCCUGUGAAGGUGAACUGGGAAGUUUGCUGGAGGUAUCAGAAGUGCGAAUGCUGACAUAAGUAACGACAAGACGGGUGAAAAACCCGUCCGCCGAAAGCCCAAGGAUUCCUGCGCAACGUUAAUCGGCGCAGGGUUAGUCGGCCCCUAAGGCGAGGCAGAAAUGCGUAGUCGAUGGGAAACAGGUUAAUAUUCCUGUACUAAUUUAUACUGCGAUGGGGGGACGGAGAAAGCUAGGCCAGAACACAGUUGGUGUGUAUCUAAGCGUUUAGGCAGAGAUCUUAGGCAAAUCCGGGAUCUUAAUGCUGAGGCGUGAUGGCGAGGAGUCUACGGACUUCGAGUGGUUGAUGCUAUGCUUCCAAGAAAAGCCUCUAAGCUUCAGGUAUAAAUUACCCGUACUCCAAACCGACACAGGUGGGCUGGAUGAGAAUUCCAAGGCGCUUGAGAGAACUCGGAUGAAGGAACUAGGCAAAAUGGUACCGUAACUUCGGGAGAAGGUACGCCUCUGAGGGUGUUAAAGCCCAUGGAGGCCGCAGAGACCAGGCCGCUGCAACUGUUUAUCAAAAACACAGCACUCUGCAAACACGAAAGUGGACGUAUAGGGUGUGACGCCUGCCCGGUGCCGGAAGGUUAAUUGAUGGGGUCAGCGCAAGCGAAGCUCUUGAUCGAAGCCCCGGUAAACGGCGGCCGUAACUAUAACGGUCCUAAGGUAGCGAAAUUCCUUGUCGGGUAAGUUCCGACCUGCACGAAUGG
This 1915-nucleotide ribosomal RNA is filed under the name Thiolinea disciformis DSM 14473. Its description in RNAcentral is "bacterial LSU rRNA". It matches the Rfam family "Bacterial large subunit ribosomal RNA", at positions 3 to 1999 of the family's 2925-position model. The record is from RNAcentral. Lineage: Bacteria; Pseudomonadati; Pseudomonadota; Gammaproteobacteria; Thiotrichales; Thiolinaceae.